Molecule: ribosomal RNA, 886 nt
Filed under: uncultured bacterium
Lineage: Bacteria
Description: bacterial SSU rRNA
Rfam family: Bacterial small subunit ribosomal RNA
Source: RNAcentral
GAGUUUGAUCAUGGCUCAGAUUGAACGCUGGCGGCAGGCCUAACACAUGCAAGUCGAACGGUAACAGGAUAGCUUGCUAUCGCUGACGAGUGGCGGACGGGUGAGUAAUACUUAGGGAUCUGCCUCUGUGUGGGGGAUAACUAUUGGAAACGAUAGCUAAUACCGCAUAAUGUCUACGGACCAAAGCGGGCUUCGGCUCGUGCGCAGAGAGGAACCUAAGCGAGAUUAGCUAGUUGGUGAGGUAAAGGCUCACCAAGGCGACGAUCUCUAGCUGUUCUGAGAGGAAGAUCAGCCACACUGGAACUGAGACACGGUCCAGACUCCUACGGGAGGCAGCAGUGGGGAAUAUUGCACAAUGGGGGAAACCCUGAUGCAGCCAUGCCGCGUGUGUGAAGAAGGCCUUCGGGUUGUAAAGCACUUUCAGUUGUGAGGAAAGUUUAGUAGUUAAUACCUGCUAGAUGUGACGUUAGCAACAGAAGAAGCACCGGCUAACUCCGUGCCAGCAGCCGCGGUAAUACGGAGGGUGCGAGCGUUAAUCGGAAUUACUGGGCGUAAAGCGCACGCAGGCGGUCUGUUAAGCUAGAUGUGAAAGCCCCGCGCUCAACGUGGGAGGGUCAUUUAGAACUGGCAGACUAGAGUCUUGGAGAGGGGAGUGGAAUUCCAGGUGUAGCGGUGAAAUGCGUAGAGAUCUGGAGGAACAUCAAUGGCGAAGGCAACUCCCUGGCCCAAAGACUGACGCUCAUGUGCGAAAGUGUGGGGUAGCGAACAGGAUUAGAUACCCUGGUAGUCCACACCGUAAACGCUGUCUACUAGCUGUUUGUGAAUUUAAUUCGUGAGUACGAAGCUACGCGAUAAGUAGACCGGCCUGGGGAGUACGGCCGCAAGG